Molecule: small RNA, 868 nt
Filed under: Pongo abelii (Sumatran orangutan)
Lineage: Eukaryota; Metazoa; Chordata; Mammalia; Primates; Hominidae
Description: sense overlapping
Rfam family: SOX2 overlapping transcript exon 3 (bases 14-289)
Source: RNAcentral
CAGGGGAUUGCAGUGGCAAAGCUAGGCUAGGUCUUGGAGGCUGGUGUAAGGCGAUGCGGGUGAAGGCAGGAGGCUGAUGGAAAGACUGGGGGGAAGAAAAGCCGAAAUGGAUUCACGGUGCCUUGGAUGAAGGACGAGAGGGGAACUGCAAGCUCCUUCAACUGGUUCUGUCCGGUGAGAAGUGAUCAAGCUUGGGCUGACAAGAGGCUCAGGGAGCCCUCACGUUCUUUCGCUUUUUUACCUGCCAAUCAAACUGCUACAAGACAACACCCUGAUCUGGCAUGGACAUCGCGGGUCCAAGCCUGUAGCCCCAAAUCGGAUAAUCUCUGCAGCUGAUAACAAGCAAAAGAGAAGCCAGGCAACAGCCAUAUUAAAGAAGAAAACAAUCAACUCUGAGUCAUUGCAGUCACCUGGAGUCGCGGAAAUGACCAUGAUUGCCUGAACUUUCAUAACUUCUGUGGUUGCAGAAAAGAGAAAACCUGGACUGUGAGGGACAUUUUACUCCCUGACCUUUGGUACAUGGUACAUGUGUGGUUGCAUGUGUGUUGCCAGAAAACAGCCUGCCAUGUCUGAGGCUAUGCUCCUGGACUAGCAGCCUGGGUUACAGGGGAAGAGCUGAAGCUGGGUUGGGGAAGUUUAAUAUACUAUACUUUUUUUUUAUUUUUUUACUUUUGGCUGAUAUUUAUCUAUUUAUUUAUUUUUAUUUUUUGUAGAGACAGGAUUUUGCCAUGUUGCCCGGGCUGGUCUCAAACUACUGAGCUUGAGAAGCUGCUUGCCUUGGCUUCCCAAAGAGCUAGGAUUAUAGGCAUGAGCCAUUGAGCCUGGCUCCUUUUAUUCUUUUCAUGACACUACCUCUUCCUAGGAGAGG